UCUAUAAAAAAAAAUUCUUCCCGACUUAUUAUUAAUUGGCCGCCUCCACAGAAAACCCUAGGACAGUUUCUUUUUCUUCUUUCAAUUUGCUCUCUCUUCUCUCUUUUGUUUUGUCAAUUGUGUGGUUCUUUCUUUUGAGAUUGUUCGAGUUUAUCUCUAUCUUCGAAAGUGGUUCUGUUGCUAACCAUGGCGUCUUUCUUGGGUGUACAACGAAGGUGGCGGUGGUAGGGUUGACCACUGGAAUUCCAGAAAGCCGUCUUGAUUGUUAACCUAUAUGCGCUUUUUCUUCUUAAUCCUCAAAGAUGAAUCUACCAAAUCUCAUCUCCAGGUUAAUGGACUCUAAACAGAGCACGUGAAAGUUGAUUUCUUUUGGUGUGUGCAACUGCAGUUUUGCCAAGUCCAAUAUGUGAUGUUUGAUCGAUCACCAUCCUAUUUCUUCACAGUGGGCCUUGCUCGAUGGCCUCUGUCAAGAGAACGAAGGUGGAGGACGACAUGCAACAUAGCCUCGGUGAUCAUGGUUAUUGCUACAGUUGUGGUGGUGGUUGAUACGAGAAAUCAUAGAUAAUCAUUAAAUGUAUUUAUUUUUAAUUUUAUCUAUGUUCUAAGUUUAGUUAUUUAAUUAUUUAAUUUUAUUGUAUUACAAAAUAUUGUCCUAUAUAAAUAAAUUGUUUUUUUUGGUAUUUUAAUUUUAAUUUAUUUGCAA
This is a long non-coding RNA of Raphanus sativus (radish), 703 nucleotides long. RefSeq lists it as uncharacterized. The transcript has 3 exons. Lineage: Eukaryota; Viridiplantae; Streptophyta; Magnoliopsida; Brassicales; Brassicaceae. The record is from RefSeq and is a predicted model, not a curated record.